Molecule: long non-coding RNA, 165 nt
Organism: Sciurus carolinensis (gray squirrel)
Lineage: Eukaryota; Metazoa; Chordata; Mammalia; Rodentia; Sciuridae
Exons: 3
Source: RefSeq, a predicted model, not a curated record
GAGGACGCCAUGUCCCCCACCCUCACGGCCCUGCUCUGCCUUGGGCUGAGUCUGGGCCCCGGGACCCGAGGGCAGCAAGGGACCCUCCCCAAGCCCACCCUGUGGGCUGAGCCAGGCUCUGUGAUCACCUGGGGGAGGCCAGUGACCCUCUGGUGUGAGGGGACA